UGGGGAAUAUUGCACAAUGGGCGCAAGCCUGAUGCAGCCAUGCCGCGUGUAUGAAGAAGGCCUUCGGGUUGUAAAGUACUUUCAGCGAGGAGGAAGGCGUUGUGGUUAAUAACCGCAACGAUUGACGUUACUCGCAGAAGAAGCACCGGCUAACUCCGUGCCAGCAGCCGCGGUAAUACGGAGGGUGCAAGCGUUAAUCGGAAUUACUGGGCGUAAAGCGCACGCAGGCGGUCUGUCAAGUCGGAUGUGAAAUCCCCGGGCUCAACCUGGGAACUGCAUCCGAAACUGGCAGGCUAGAGUCUUGUAGAGGGGGGUAGAAUUCCAGGUGUAGCGGUGAAAUGCGUAGAGAUCUGGAGGAAUACCGGUGGCGAAGGCGGCUCCCUGGACAAAGACUGACGCUCAGGUGCGAAAGCGUGGGGAGCAAACA
This 427-nucleotide ribosomal RNA is filed under the name uncultured bacterium. Its description in RNAcentral is "partial 16S ribosomal RNA". It matches the Rfam family "Bacterial small subunit ribosomal RNA", at positions 355 to 774 of the family's 1533-position model. The record is from RNAcentral.